GCGAAAGCAUUCAUCAAUUACACACCCUUUAAUCAAGAACGAAAGUUAGAGUAGCAAAGGUCAUUAGAUGCAGCUGUAGUUUUAACCAUAAACGAUGACAUCUCAGGAUAUCAUCGAAAAUCUUUGCUUGUGUUUUGUGUUUGUGGUCAAACAUAAAUACAAAACAUGCUAAUGUAGAUUAUGUUCAUUGGGGCCAUUUUGGUAACAAAAUCCCCGUUUAGACCAAUGAUGCACUAUGUGGGAAACCAACAGCUGUCUUCGUGGAGUGUAUGUUAGCAAUGAUGAAAUUUAAAAGAAUUGACGGAAGAACUACCACCAGGGGUGGACUAUGCUGUUUAAUUUGACUCAACGCGGGAAAUUUUACCAGGGCAGGACACCGUGAGGAAAGACGAAUUGAAAAUUUUUCUUGAUUCUGUGAUUGUUAAAUGUAGUGCAUGGCCUUUGGGAAGUGAGUGGAUUG
Molecule: ribosomal RNA, 460 nt
Filed under: uncultured Cercozoa
Lineage: Eukaryota; Cercozoa
Description: partial 18S ribosomal RNA
Rfam family: Eukaryotic small subunit ribosomal RNA
Source: RNAcentral